GACGAACGCUGGCGGCGUGCUUAACACAUGCAAGUCGAACGGAAAGGCCCUGCUUUUGUGGGGUGCUCGAGUGGCGAACGGGUGAGUAACACGUGAGUAACCUGCCCUUGACUUUGGGAUAACUUCAGGCAACUUGGGCUAAUACCGGAUAGGAGCUCCUGCUGCAUGGUGGGGGUUGGAAGGUUUCGGCGGUUGGGGAUGGACUCGCGGCUUAUCAGCUUGUUGGUGGGGUAGUGGAUUACCAAGGCUUGGACGGGUAGCCGGCCUGCGAGGGUGACCGGCCACAUUAGGACUGAGAUACGGCCCAGACUCCUACGGGAGGGAGCAGUGGGGAAUAUUGCACAAUGGGCGGAAGCCUGAUGCAGCAAAGCCGCGUGCGGGAUGACGGCAUUCGGGUUGUAAUCCGCUUUCGCCUGUGACGAAGCGUGAGUGACGGUAAUGGGUAAAGAAGCACCGGCUAACUACGUG
RNAcentral lists this ribosomal RNA (468 nucleotides) under uncultured bacterium. RNAcentral describes it as "partial 16S ribosomal RNA". It matches the Rfam family "Bacterial small subunit ribosomal RNA", at positions 28 to 507 of the family's 1533-position model. The record is from RNAcentral.